Molecule: ribosomal RNA, 460 nt
Filed under: uncultured bacterium
Lineage: Bacteria
Description: partial 16S ribosomal RNA
Rfam family: Bacterial small subunit ribosomal RNA
Source: RNAcentral
CCUACGGGAGGCAGCAGUGAGGAAUAUUGGUCAAUGGGCGCGAGCCUGAACCAGCCAAGUCGCGUGAGGGAGGACGGCCCUACGGGUUGUAAACCUCUUUUGCCGGGGAGCAACGGGCGUCACGUGUGGCGCCACUGAGAGUACCCGGAGAAAAAGCAGCGGCCAACUCCGUGCCAGCAGCCGCGGUAAUACGGAGGAUGCGAGCGUUAGCCGGAUUUAUUGGGUUUAAAGGGUGCGUAGGCGGAUCGUUAAGUCAGUGGUCAAAUUGAGGGGCUCAACCCCUUCCCGCCAUUGAAACUGGCGUUCUUGAGUGGACGAGCAGUAUGCGGAAUUCGUGGUGUAGCGGUGAAAUGCAUAGAUAUCACGCAGAACCCCGAUUGCGAAGGCAGCAUGCCGGCUUCCGCCUGACGCUGCAGCACGAAAGCGUGGGGAUCGAACAGGAUUAGAUACCCUAGUAGUC